This 278-nucleotide ribosomal RNA is filed under the name uncultured Rhodoferax sp. RNAcentral's name for it is "partial 16S ribosomal RNA". It matches the Rfam family "Bacterial small subunit ribosomal RNA", at positions 1100 to 1382 of the family's 1533-position model. Lineage: Bacteria; Pseudomonadati; Pseudomonadota; Betaproteobacteria; Burkholderiales; Comamonadaceae. The record is from RNAcentral.
AACCCUUGUCAUUAGUUGCUACAUUCAGUUGGGCACUCUAAUGAGACUGCCGGUGACAAGCCGGAGGAAGUGGGGAUGACGUCAAGUCCUCAUGGCCCUUAUAGGUGAGGCUACACACGUCAUACAAUGGCUGGUACAAAGGGUUGCCAACCCGCAGGGGGAGCCAAUCCCAUAAAGCCAGUCGUAGUCCGGAUCGUAGUCUGCAACUCGACUACGUGAAGUCGGAAUCGCUAGUAAUCGUGGAUCAGAAUGUCACGGUGAAUACGUUCCCGGGUCUU